RNAcentral lists this ribosomal RNA (290 nucleotides) under uncultured bacterium. Its description in RNAcentral is "partial 16S ribosomal RNA". It matches the Rfam family "Bacterial small subunit ribosomal RNA", at positions 28 to 321 of the family's 1533-position model. The record is from RNAcentral.
GAUGAACGCUAGCGGCAGGCUUAACACAUGCAAGUCGAGGGGUAUAGUUCUUCGGAACUAGAGACCGGCGCACGGGUGCGUAACGCGUAUGCAAUCUACCUUUUGCAGAGGGAUAGCCCAGAGAAAUUUGGAUUAAUACCUCAUAGUAUGUGAGAAUGGCAUCAUUUUCACAUUAAAGUCACAACGGCUAAAGAUGAGCAUGCGUCCCAUUAGCUAGAUGGUAAGGUAACGGCUUACCAUGGCGACGAUGGGUAGGGGUCCUGAGAGGGAGAUCCCCCACACUGGUACUG